Non-coding RNA from Delphinapterus leucas (beluga whale), 5358 nucleotides. The record is from RefSeq and is a predicted model, not a curated record. Lineage: Eukaryota; Metazoa; Chordata; Mammalia; Artiodactyla; Monodontidae.
GUUCAGUAGGUGUUCUGUAGGAAUUGUUCCACACAUGUAGAUGUGUUUCUGAUAUAUGUGUGGGAAGGAAGGUGAUUUCCACAUCUUACUCCUCUGCCACCUUGAAGGUGUCUAGGCCAACUUUAAAGUGACUAUUCUCAAAUUUAAGCCCACAAUUAAAAUAUGACUUGGAAAUUCAGGGUCCCUCACCAUAAAGGAAAAAUUGAUUUAUUUGAUCAGCACACUGACUGGAUUUGACUGUUUUACAAAAAUUUUAAAUCUUAAUAAGAAAUGAAGUUGUCUUUUUAAAAGUCAUUCCUUUGAAUGUGUACAGAAUUGAAAUGUUAGAUAACAUACAAAGAUAGUUCAGGAAUUAUUCUUCUCUGGGUGCUAGUGCUGCACUAAAAGAGCAGCAAUGUGCUGCAGAUGGUUUUACAACAACAUUCUCUCUGUGGCAGGAUGGAUUUAUGGAUUUCUGGAACAGUGAUAUGAAGAGCCUCCUCCCAGAAUUGUGAAUGUGAAGGAACCCACUGUCACUGGGAUGUGGUCCAGAAAGCUGUCUUAAUACUUGAAACAAUGAUAACAAAGUCUCAGCAAAUAUUUAGUAAACACUAAGUGUAUCAACCAUGUUGGUCAUUAUGACCUCCCAGUCUGACCUGACUGAUUUUUCUUAAAUGCAAUCAAACAUCACCAUCAUCUCCUGUCUCCAAAAAUGUGCACACACAUUCACGGUAUGCAAAAGGAACAAGGUCCCAAGCAUGUUUAUAGUGAGCAUGAGCCCUGGAACGUUAAUAUACAAAGUGCAAGGCCAGCAGGACAUUCUUGAACAGACCAAACUGAAAGAUUAAUUUAAUGGGAAACAUUCAACGCUUCUAGCUAUACACUGAUUAUCGAAUGCAACUGUAUGAAGAGUUUUAUUAUUUAUUAUCUAAGAACCAAACUAUGCAUUACAUAGUAAGCUAGCCCUCUAAGACUGAGAUCACUAUAGAAGGAUAGUUGAUUUAAGUUUGCUGAACUGAAAGAUAAUAGGGCAUUUCAUGAAAGAAAAAGUAUACUUUUCUAAGAACCAUGAAUUAGAAGAGUCCAUUUCCUUCAAUGUAAGUUACAUUGUCCAAGAAAAAGCUUAAAACUUGGCAGGAUCCAUAGUAUCACAGACUUAUGUCCUUUGGCAUAAAUAUCCAUAGUAUUUUGGCCACCUCUGAAAGCAAAAGAACUGUGAAGGCGAGAUGGAAUAGAGAAUAAGAAAGAGCCAAGGAGAGGCUCUGCCAUUAUUUUUUUUAAUUUUGGUUGAUUGUCUUAUUUUAUCUUGUUUUGUUUUAAGGUAAUUUCACAAUAAAUAAUGGAAGAAAAAGUAUAUAACUUAGGACAAAACAGAUAAAAAUAAUUUUUAAAAUGAAAGUUUGAUGAUAACUAGAUUUCCUCAUUUAAUAGUAAUCUAUUCUAUAAAUUUUUCAUAUUUCAUAUGUGAAAAACAAGUAUACUUGAUCCCUUACUGGCAGGAAGAAUUAAUUUCUCUGAUAAUUACACCUAAGUAUAACUGGCUUUGUAUGAUAUAUUAAAAAAUGUAAGUAAACUUCACUCUUCAAUGUUAACAUGAACAGCUAAAGGGAAAUAUAGUUUAAAAUAAAACUAUUUCCUAGUGUCAUUUUUUUUUAAUUGACAAGAUUAACUUGAGCACUAAGAAAAUGAAAUAUAACCUUGAAUUAUAAGGCAAGUGAGAUGCCUCAAGAUCUAUUUUUGUGAAUAUUAUCUUCUAAAGCAUAUUUCCAAAAUCUUUUCAAUGUGAUUGAUGAUAUUUUAUAGAAGAAAAAUAAGUUAUAUAAAUUUAUUGAAAAUGAAAAAAAAUACUCUUAUAAAAUUUAUCUCAUUCAUAUAAUCCUUGACUCUGCAAACUGAAGUUAUCUGUGAGUAAAAUAUAACCUUUGUUCUGGAACUAUAGCUUUGCUACAUUAAACUUUACAUCAUUACAUUUUUCAAAAUAUUGAACCAACAAAAAUCAAAAAUCAUCUUUUUACGAACUUGGAAACAAGAUCAAGUCAUCCUAAAUUAAUGGUGAGAAUGUAACUUAUUGUUAUUAUUCCACAAGAUAAUAGAUACCAAGGUAUGUGCACAAUUCUAUUUUAAUGAACAUAACGGAUUCUGAGACACUGACCAUUUUUAUGGCAUACAGCACUGAACAUAACGGAUUCUGAGACACUGACCAUUUUUAUGGCAUACAGCACUGAACUAUGUAAAUGACCCAAAUCUUUUUCAGGCUAUGUCCCUAAUGAGUCACAUGGGGUAAGUACUUUACCACCUCUAUUUAUUUUAAAUAAUUUACAUCUGUUUUUCUACAGCAACCCAAAUCCAAUGUCAGACUUUGGAUCAUUUUAUCACUUACGUGGCUUUGCCUCUUGACUAUUACGCCCUCCUUCAACUUCCGUAUUUCCAUUUGUUCUCCAUGAAUUCACUUAGUCCUCCAACCUCUUGCCUCCCUCCAUUUUAUAUCAAGCUGUAAAUCUGCUAUUGGAUUCACUAGUUUCUCUACUCUGCCAGCACUGAUAGCCUAUGUAUUAUUUCAUCCAAACACACACUAGAAUCUGCUAUGUCCUUGGUCUUUCUCUGCAUCUCUCUGGAAAAUUCCCAAUACUGCAGCCAAAGUGGUUUAAAAUAGAGAAUUUGGGGGAUUAUUUAGACCAGGAUUAUACCUCCCCUAUGAUUUAGUCAAGUACUGCCAUUAUCCCCAGUUGAUUCCCUCAUAUAAUGGUGACUAUAAUUUACUGAUCACAAGAGAUGUUGCAGAGAUUAAUCGUAAUGAGUUUGUAUAUACCUUCUACAGUGUCUGACAUAUGGCAGCUGCUCCAUAAAUGUUAGCACUUUUCUACUCCCUUUUUAAUUCGUAGGAUGCUGAACACAAGAGAAACAAAGAGACAUGCUAUGGCUAACACUGCUGCCACAAAUGUGUUGCUUUCAGUCAGAGCAGCAUUCUUGACAUUGUUUAAAACAGGAUAUUUGAUUACUUACCUUCUCUUAUUACACGCAGAUAUUAUACCAAAGCUCUUCCUCCUACAGUCUCUUACCCUGUGUCAGCAUUCUGUAGCCUCGGCAGGUGAUGUCAAUCUCUAUAUCGUUAAGAUUAUUCAGACAACCUUCAAAGCGCCAAGGUCUCCCCUUUCCCACCCCCGCAGCCUCAGAUUAACCGUAUAGCCUUCUACUGCAGGUGUUUUCUGAAGCUGUAGGAAAGUACCAAUGUUAAGGAAUCUUGUGUUUAUUCAGAAAUACAUAGUUUUUUCUAAUGAUUGUCAUGGUUCCUUUCUUAAAAGAAAUCAGAACAGUUGAGUGCAUAUGGUAUGAGGAAUUAGGAAUCACAUCUGAAGUUUAGAUGUUUGGAUAGUUUUACAGUAUUUACAUAAUCCAUGGUGGGUAUGAAUACAGAUCAGCAGUAAAGUCUUACACUUACAUUCACAAGCUUUAUUUCUAAAUACUGAAAAUGUUUGGUCCUUAAAAUGCCAUUUUCAAAGGUAUAAGUACUUUGAAACUGUAGGUACAAUUUUGAUUAUAGUAAAAAUCAAAAGUUAUAGCUUUUUGUUCUUUUGAGUUCAUGCAUGAUUGCAUACCAACUGGAAACAUUAUGCAGAACUGGUACUGAAAAUAUAGCCUGGGGCCUGCUUAUGGUCUUUUGACAUGCUACCUUCUGUUAUUCUGCUUAAUUCAUGACUCUAAAAGGCCAACAGCCCUCUAAAUGAACUUCUGAGGAAUUAGUGAUCAUAAUGAAAAUUGCAGCCCUUAUUCUCUACUGUGUGGGUUGGUAUAAGCAUGUGUGACCACAUGUAACAGGGUUAGAAGGAAAAAUAAUGCUUUGCCCUCUGGAAUUUGACCCUAUUUGAACUUUACUCAUGUUUCAGGUGUCUACGGACUUCUUUACCAUUGAAAUAGGACAGAAUUAUAAAUAAUGGCUUCAAAUGGAAAAACAGAAAAGUUAGCUUUGCUUGGGUCAGCGUUUUGAACCAGCACCUGUUUUCUUCUUUGAUUACUGAGCAGCUCAGUAUAUAACAAGUUCAGAAGCAGAAGCUAUGUCAUAAUAAUACAUGAUUGGCCACCCUAAUGGAUAUGAUGUCACGUCUCAUAGUUUUUAUUACAUUUCCCUAGUGAAUAGUAAUGUUUCAGUGUCUAUCAUGGUGCCUUCCAUAUGAUGGGAGCGAGAUAAACAUUGGCUGCAUGAAGGAAUCACCGUCACUCACUGGAUGCCCCUCGUGGCGAGCCUCACUGAGGUCUGAUGCAGCCUCCUGAACAUGCUAAGGCUUUACCUUCUUCCCCAAGACUCUUCCUUCUGCUGUUCAAGUAUUCAAGAUAAAUGAGGUCAGCUGUAGACAAUAACGUCAGCCUUCACAGACUACAGGUCCCAGCGCCCAAAGUCUCCUCCUUUUACCUGCUAACUAUUAACUGAGGAUGCACAGCACAAUCUUCAGAGGGUGGCGUACAGACAGCUCCAAUUUUUCAGAGCUCCACUUCAACAGCAAGCCUCUAUCUGAACGUCCAGACUCCCUCCUGAUAUCUGUCCUAUUGUCUGUCCUCCCUCCACCAAGAAUAAAGCCAUCUACCUUGUGAUGCAGUGGCUCCUGGUCCUUUGGCAUGGGAGAGGAGAGCAGGGAGCUUCCAGUGUGUGCCUCUCAGUCCCCAGGUGCUGGGGGAGCUCUGGUGAAUGAGAUCAGAGUGGAGUCUUGGGGCAAGUUGGGAGAUGAGGGACCUGCAGCUCUGAAAUUUUACUUCUGGAAAACUGAAAACAAGAUGUGUGUGCUUAUAUAUACUACAUAAAUUAAUGUGUGCAUGUGCAUGUGUGUGUAUACAUACACAUAUAUAUGUCUACAUGUGUGUAUAUGUAUUUUAAAUAAAAGAAAAAUAGAGAAAGUAACUAAAUUGUACUUAGUAUCACCAACUGGUUCUGAGACUGUGUCUAGACCAAUGAUUAUAAACAGAACAGAUCUAAAAUGCAUCUAUUAAUGCAACAAACAUGUAUAGGAAAUCUGCCCUCAUGCAACUCAGAGGCUUCAAGGUAGGCAAGCCAUAUACUAAAUAAAUAUAAUUUGUGUUACAAAGAAAUAAGGACUGCCAUGAGAAUAUACACAAGGACCUGACUUGUCUGCCCUGGGAGGGGACACCUCCCCCCCAAAAAGGCGAUGUUUAAGGUGAAACUUAAGGAAUAAGUAGCUGCUAGCUUCAUGAAGGGGACUGUCAGAGGAGAGAAUUACAGUGUAUUCAGAAUCCCUGAGACAAGGGACAGUGUGAGCAACCAACAGAAUUUCCUUACGGCUGAUGCAGAAAAUAAAGAGUGAUAAGACCAAAGCAGUGGACAGGACCUGAAUGUGGCGGCUGAUAUGGCUUUGGUCUGUGUCCUCAGAG